Long non-coding RNA from Acinonyx jubatus (cheetah), 2211 nucleotides. RefSeq lists it as uncharacterized. The record is from RefSeq and is a predicted model, not a curated record. Lineage: Eukaryota; Metazoa; Chordata; Mammalia; Carnivora; Felidae. The transcript is spliced from 2 exons.
UCAUCGCUAAGGUUCUGAUCUUUCCCUAACUCUUACUUAAUGAAAUCAUAAAGGCCUAUGGCUCUUUUGUUCGACUAAAGGUACAAAUAAUGUUUUGAGCUUCUGUUAUGAGAUAGGAGAUGGUUUAAAAUAAUUUUUUAAAUUGUCUAUACUAAAGAAAAAUGUAAAUAUAUGAGUCUUUAAAGAUUACUCCUCCCUGACUAGUAUCAAAAAAUGGCGAAUGGAACCCAUUUUUAAAAAAAAAUUUUGUGGUGUUUAUUCAAUUUGCUUCCAGCUUCCACUAAACUAAGAAAGACACAUUGAAAUGUGGAAAUGUUGGAACUAUCCUUUUUAAAGAAAAAAAAAAAAGCUUUUCAGCAGGGGAAACAACAUAACAACUACGAAAAUAUAUGGACAUGUCAAAAUAUUUCUAAAGGAACUAGAAUGAAUUUGUUAUUUAAAUUUUUUUUAAUGUUUGUGAGAGAGACAGAGCGUGAGUGGGGAGGGACAGAGAGAAAGGAAGACACAGAAGCUGAGCUGUCAGCACAGAGCCUGAAGUGGGACUCGAACCCUCUAACUGCAAGAUCAUGACCUGAGCUGAAGUUGGACACUUAACUGACUGAGCCACCCAGGCGCCUGUAAAAAAUAUUUCUAGGGGAACUAGAAUGAAUUUGAAUACUACCGACAAUAAGGACAUUUACUGUAAAAAGAAAAAGACACCCACUAAGUUUUCUUUGGACAGCUUUCUUAGAGAGACUGGAGCACUCCAAAUUACUCAACUGAAUAUUUCUAAAUUCUUAGAUAAACAUUAUUAUUAUGAAUUAAGCAAUUAUAAACAAUGUAUAAAUUAAAGCAUUUCAGUGUUUGUUAUAGUCUUCAUAUUAAUUUUAGACAAAAUAUUAUGGACUAGAAUGCUCAUAUGUGCUAUAUUUGCAUCAGUCUCUGAGGUGAUCUACAAUUACAGUAUUUGAUCAUAUUUCGUAUUUGACCUGAAGGAUAAUUUUAUUAUAUCCAGAAGUCCUUAGGAUAUGUAUUUUUAGCUUUAUUUUCUCACCUAUUACUAUGGGCAUGUAAUUUAUUUCAUAUAAGUUUCUUGGUUCAGAAUGAAGUAUAUAAUUAAACAUGGGUUCUUUGCAAAAAUAAAUCAUAUAGAUUCCAGGAAUGUAUUGUAUUAUGAAUGACAAUACCCCAUCGAGUGUAUAUUGUGUGAUAUGACUCUGUGUACACACACACACACACACACACACACACACACGCAUAUCAAUCCUUGUGGUGUGAAGUAAGGAAAGUUUAUUUUUGUAAAAGCAAUGCACUAUAAUAUAGCUCAAAGGACCCCUGGGAACUCUGCUCAGAUGUUUGGAUUUUGUGCAACAAAUAAUGGUGAGCCAAUUAAAGUUUUUCAUCAAGGGAUGAGAUCAGAGGUGUUUUAAGAAGAAUGAUUCUGGGAGGAAUUGGAAGCAGGAAGAAGAUUUAGAAGCCCAAACUGGCUCACAUCAGAGAACUCUUGAAAGUCCUAAUCAUCUUUGUAAAACAUUAUGAACAAUUGUUCUAUUAAGCUUAAGAAUAUCAUUUCAUGCUAUAAAUACCAUCUCAAACCAAAUUCUAGUAUAGAUGAACUACAGAUAUGUCAACCUUUUAAGGAAAAGGUUUAGAACAAACACAUUACACUGAGAAAAAUGAAUCUGUGAAUUCUCCCCACUCCUGAAAGUCGUAAAACAAAGCCACCCAGAUUGGAUUUAAAAAGCUGUCUCUGUCCGUCUCUUGGAGCCUCAGUGUUCUACAGGAGUAAACCUUGAGAAUGGUCCAUUCUACUGUUUCUCUUGGCAACGAGGGUUUAAAUGGAAAGGAGGCAACAAGAGCAAGAAAAUAAGGGCUAUUGUGAGGGAGCUGAGGAGUGGUUGGUGGUAAAGGAUGGCAGGAGAGGAGCACUAAAACGUUAAUAGCUGUCAUGUGGAAAUCCUUCUCAACAAAACCAAAGCUUCCAUUCUGAUUUCAGUUUGGUGCUAGAUGUUUCUCGUUUGAUAAUCUUCCUUUUAGCAUUCUUUUUGUUUAGGGGUGCCUGGGUGGUUCAGUUGGUUGGGCGUCAGACUCUUGACUUUGGCUCAGGUCACAAUCUCACAGUUCAUGAGUUCGAGCCCUACAUCAGGGUCUGUGCUGACAGUGCAGAGCCUGCUUGGGAUUCUCCUUCUUCCUUUCUCUGCCCCUCCCCUGCAUAUGCUCUCUCUCUCUCUC